RNAcentral lists this ribosomal RNA (1440 nucleotides) under metagenome. RNAcentral's name for it is "bacterial LSU rRNA". It matches the Rfam family "Bacterial large subunit ribosomal RNA", at positions 1475 to 2925 of the family's 2925-position model. The record is from RNAcentral.
UACGGAUAGUGUGACCCUCUUAAUGGAUUGAGGGCGAAGCGAAGCGGCUGGUUACCAGGCAAAUCCGGUAACCUUAAGGCUAGAGCGUGACAGGUAAGCGAAAUCUAAGGAAAGUAGCGAAGCACAAGAUGACGGCUUCCAGGAAAAGCUUCUGGCAAUGCAUAUGCGGCCCGUACCAAAACCGACACAGGUGGGCAGGGAGAGAAUCUCGAGGUGAGCGAGAGAACUGUUGCCAAGGAACUCGGCAAAGUGACUCCGUAAGUUAGCGAGAAGGAGUGCUUAAGCAAUUAAGCCGCAGUGAAGAGGCCCAAGCGACUGUUUAACUAAAACACAGCUCUCUGCGAAGUCGCAAGACGAAGUAUAGGGGGUGACACCUGCCCGGUGCUGGAAGGUUAAGAGGAUCUGUUAAGAGCGAUCUGAAGCAGUGAUCCGAAGCACCAGUGAACGGCGGCCGUAACGAUAACGGUCCUAAGGUAGCGAAAUUCCUUGUCAGGUAAGUUCUGACCCGCACGAAAGGUGUAACGAUUUGGGCGCUGUCUCGGCAGCAGACUCGGUGAAAUCUUAGUACCUGUGAAAAUGCAGGUUACCCGCAACUAGACGGAAAGACCCCAUGGAGCUUUACUGCAGCCUGAUAUUGAAUUCUGGUCAUACAUGUACAGGAUAGGUGGGAGACAAAGAGACGUGCACGCCAGUGUACGAGGAGUCGACGUUGGGAUACCACUCUUGUGUGACCGGGGUUCUAGCCUGGUAUCGAGAACAGGUACGGGGAGAGUGUCAGGUGGGCAGUUUGACUGGGGCGGUCGCCUCCCAAAGAGUAACGGAGGCGCCCAAAGGUACGCUCAGAUUGGAUGGAAGCCAAUCGACGAGUGCAAUUGCAGAAGCGUGCUUGACUGUGAGACAAACAAGUCGAACAGGGACGAAAGUCGGGAAUAGUGAUCCGGCGGUGCCGAAUGGAAGGGCCGUCGCUCAACGGAUAAAAGCUACCCUGGGGAUAACAGGCUGAUCUCGCCCAAGAGUUCACAUCGACGGCGAGGUUUGGCACCUCGAUGUCGGCUCAUCGCAUCCUGGAGCUGGAUUCGGUUCCAAGGGUUGGGCUGUCCGCCCAUUAAAGCGGUACGCGAGCUGGGUUCAGAACGUCGUGAGACAGUUCGGUCCCUAUCUGUUGUGGGCGAAGGAGAUCUGCGGAGAGCUGUCCUCAGUACGAGAGGACCGGGAUGGACCUACCGCUGGUGCACCGGUUGUUCCGCCAGGGGCAUAGCCGGGUAGCUAAGUAGGGAAAGGAUAAGCGCUGAAAGCAUCUAAGCACGAAGCCUACUCCAAGAUGAGAUCUCCCAUUCGCAAGAAGUAAGACCCCUUAAAGACGAUAAGGUAGAUAGGCCAGGGAUGGAAGUGCAGUGAUGUACGGAGUUGACUGGUACUAAUCGGUCGAGGACUUAAUCG